Molecule: transfer RNA, 76 nt
Filed under: Aurantimicrobium minutum
Lineage: Bacteria; Bacillati; Actinomycetota; Actinomycetes; Micrococcales; Microbacteriaceae
Also listed under: 3 other names
Description: tRNA-His
Rfam family: tRNA
About the family: Transfer RNA (tRNA) molecules are approximately 80 nucleotides in length. Their secondary structure includes four short double-helical elements and three loops (D, anti-codon, and T loops).
Source: RNAcentral
GUGGGUAUAGCUCAGUUGGUAGAGCGCCUGAUUGUGGUUCAGGAGGUCGCGGGAUCGAUACCCGUUACUCACCCCA